Molecule: long non-coding RNA, 867 nt
Filed under: Panax ginseng (ginseng)
Lineage: Eukaryota; Viridiplantae; Streptophyta; Magnoliopsida; Apiales; Araliaceae
Description: long non-coding RNA (PGIN_LNC006874)
Source: RNAcentral
UGGCAAAAGCAAAAGCAUGCAUGCCGAUACAUGCUGCUACCAUACAACAUACACAAUCAAGCUAGUCAUUAGGAUAUUAUACAACACAUCAAUACAUCAUCAUCCAAGAACAAAACAUAAACCUUACAUGUACAGAUACUAAUAAUUUAAUAAACGUAACUGCAAGCUUAAAAAUCUCACAAAAUUAAAACCAAGCCUAAACCUGAUAAAAUAAAUACCCAUAACUAAUUAUUCUUCUCAGACUUGUCACUAUCAUCGUUGGUACCUCCACUGCUGCUGCCUCCGCCACCGCCACCGCUAUAGUUAUUGAAGUCCUGCCUAGGAAUAUGGUGGUGGUUGUCCACACUGCUUCCAGGGUGCUCAAAGUUGUCCCCCUCUGCAGCAAGUAGCGUGGGUUGCUCAUGGUAAUUUGCGUGCAUUUCAGCCAUUAUAGCUCUCAUGCAUGUUCAUUGACAAACAAGAGCUCACCAUCAUUAGGGUUAGAACAAACUCUAGGUCAGCCCACCUCAUUCUUUGCUUUCACUUUUCACUGAAAAGCCAAAGAUCAAUUAAUUAACUAAACCAUUAUCUUAUGUAAUUAAAAGAAGUACCAGCUAGGAUGAAUAUAUACCAUCAAUUAAUAUUUAUAGAAACAAUAUAAUUGAUAUCUUGUACAAAAUCAAUAACAUAGACUUACCAAAAAUGGAGAGUGCAGCUAGAAGGGUAAUAUUAUAUAUGUGUUUUGGUAAGGAGCAAGGUGAGAAGUUUGAGCUGUAUAUAUAGAGAAGCAUAUACUAGGGUUUAUAUCCCCCGUAUUAUUAUUAAUAUUUGGUUAAUGUAAUGACAUGGUUGAUUUGUGAAAAUGAUCCAAAAACGACCUUGUUUUUA